CUCGAGUUUCCUUCUCUGCGCUCUCUCCGUGCUCUCUCUCUACAGACAAUUAAGCUCUGCUCUCUGUGUUCUCUCGGUCUCCCUCUGUGCUCGUAAGGGUUUUGAUAUCCUCCUGCGAUUGAAGUACGGGCGAACUCUCUCUCCGUUCUUUCGGUUAGGCAGGUCUGUGCUGGUUAGGGUUUCGUGCGAUUGUGGGAUUGUCGGCUGGAGCUCAUCAGAUCAAGAUUAUCACUGUUAGGAUGGCAUGAAGCACCAAUUCUUGGCAUUAGCAGUUAUCAGUCAUUUGCUGUCGCGUUUCUCCAAGACAAAAGACAUUGGUAACGAGGUUAGUAAAAAAAGGAACUGGAAAAACCACCUAAGCAAUUGGCGAUGGUGCAAGUGAUGUUGGGAUGAUACAAGAAGCUGAUAUUGGAGUUGGCCAAAACCCCACCUUAGCACUUGAUUAAGACUGGAGCGCAAAUGAUGUUGGGAUGAUACAAGAAGCUGAUAUUGGAGUUGGCCAAAACCCCACCUUAGCACUUGAUUAAGACUGGAGCUGUCUCUGCCAAGCUUUGCAAGAGAGAGAGCACAAAACAAUUCCACAGUUGGAAGAUAAGUUCCCAUUGGUGUACAAGAACGUCAGGUCACCAACUAGGAAGCUUAAGACUACAUACAUGGCAUUAAGGCCCAACUUGUUUAUGUAACUUAGUCAUUUGACGAUGAAGCUUUUAAGAGAAGUUAAAGUGAGACUAUUCUUGGAUCUUUUUGGCAGAAACCUCUUUUUUAGUCUCUUUUUGUUAUUUUAUCGAAUAUUUUGUUAUUUGAGCAUUUUUGAA
This is a long non-coding RNA of Morus notabilis, 815 nucleotides long. RefSeq lists it as uncharacterized. The transcript is spliced from 3 exons. The record is from RefSeq and is a predicted model, not a curated record. NCBI's taxonomy places the organism in Eukaryota, Viridiplantae, Streptophyta, Magnoliopsida, Rosales, Moraceae.